RNAcentral lists this ribosomal RNA (468 nucleotides) under uncultured bacterium. RNAcentral's name for it is "partial 16S ribosomal RNA". It matches the Rfam family "Bacterial small subunit ribosomal RNA", at positions 28 to 507 of the family's 1533-position model. The record is from RNAcentral.
GACGAACGCUGGCGGCGUGCUUAACACAUGCAAGUCGAACGGAAAGGCCCUGCUUUUGUGGGGUGCUCGAGUGGCGAACGGGUGAGUAACACGUGAGUAACCUGCCCUUGACUUUGGGAUAACUUCAGGAAACUGGGGCUAAUACCGGAUAGGAGCUCCUGCUGCAUGGUGGGGGUUAGAAAGUUUCGGCGGUUGGGGAUGGACUCGCGGCUUAUCAGCUUGUUGGUGGGGUAGUGGCUUACCAAGGCUUUGACGGGUAGCCGGCCUGAGAGGGUGACCGGCCACAUUGGGACUGAGAUACGGCCCAGACUCCUACGGGACGCAGCAGUGGGGAAUAUUGCACAAUGGGCGGAAGCCUGAUGCAGCAACGCCGCGUGCGGGAUGACGGCCUUCGGGUUGUAAACCGCUUUCGCCUGUGACGAAGCGUGAGUGACGGUAAUGGGUAAAGAAGCACCGGCUAACUACGUG